This 207-nucleotide ribosomal RNA is filed under the name uncultured bacterium. RNAcentral's name for it is "partial 16S ribosomal RNA". It matches the Rfam family "Bacterial small subunit ribosomal RNA", at positions 568 to 774 of the family's 1533-position model. The record is from RNAcentral.
AGCGUAGGCUGUGCGGUAAGUCAGAUGUGAAAUCCCGGGGCUCAACCCCGGAACUGCAUCCGAUACUGCCGUGCUAGAGGAAUGGAGAGGUAGCUGGAAUUCACGGUGUAGCAGUGAAAUGCGUAGAUAUCGUGAGGAACACCUAUGGCGAAAGCAAGCUACUGGACAACUCCUGACGCUGAGGCUCGAAGGCCAGGGUAGCGAAAG